Molecule: long non-coding RNA, 746 nt
Organism: Aedes aegypti (yellow fever mosquito)
Lineage: Eukaryota; Metazoa; Arthropoda; Insecta; Diptera; Culicidae
Exons: 2
Source: RefSeq, a predicted model, not a curated record
UUCAUGACAGAUUGGCGUGAUGUUAAACAGCCUACACUGAAAUCAAAUCUCCAUUAUAUUUUAUGUGCAGAAAUUAGAUAGAUGUUGAAUUAUUGCCUCAAAUUUGAUUUUAUGUGCUCGCAUAUAAAUUUUAGUUGAUAACAAUAAAAUACAAUGUCAAUGCACAUAAUCUUCACUUGCGUUCUAAUGCAUUAUAAAGGUCAGAUUGUUAUAACCUGUUUAUGUUCAAAUUGAAUCCUAGAACACUCGCCGAGCAAUGAGAAGAAAACAUUUCACCUUCUGCAUCAUCCUGGUAGCACGAUUUGCGGUUUUGAAAUUAAUUGCUCUUUUGUUUAAAAAUAUGAUCUUAUUCUCAAAAGUUCUAUUGAAACCACUGACUCGAUGGGUUAUGGAGUUUUGUAAGACUAGAAGAGGUGCUGAAUCUAACUACCGGAUUCAAAUUCUGUGACGAUUGACGACGUGGACUGCAGUAAAAACAGUGCCACGCUCCUAGAACGUUUAAGGAUACGCCUAUUCCGAAUAGACACCAGCGUAAACUCCCACAUGCUUCAGCUCCACCCGUACUCCGGCAUAAAUGAAGGCUUUCUCAUUAACCCUACCGCUGCUCACUUCACUAUAACCAAAGCUACGAACUUGCUCCCGAAAAUCCAAUAAGUCCACCAGAAUGAUUUCAUUGAAGUGCAAAUAAACAUGAUAUUGAGAUCAAACUAACCGCAUAAAGUGUUUAAUUAGCUGUAAGCUUGUUU